Molecule: ribosomal RNA, 153 nt
Filed under: Scutylenchus sp. CX-2012
Lineage: Eukaryota; Metazoa; Nematoda; Chromadorea; Rhabditida; Merliniidae
Description: 5.8S ribosomal RNA
Rfam family: 5.8S ribosomal RNA (bases 3-137)
About the family: 5.8S ribosomal RNA (5.8S rRNA) is a component of the large subunit of the eukaryotic ribosome. It is transcribed by RNA polymerase I as part of the 45S precursor that also contains 18S and 28S rRNA.
Source: RNAcentral
CACUCGGCUCGUAGGUCGAUGAAGAACGCAGCCAACUGCGACAACUAGUGUGAACUGCAGAUAUUUUGAACACUAAGAUUUCGAAUGCACAUUGCGCCAUGGGAAUUUUAUCCCUUGGCACAUCUGGUUCAGGGUCGUUAUUAUCUAAAGCGA